This is a long non-coding RNA of Andrographis paniculata, 535 nucleotides long. RefSeq lists it as uncharacterized. The transcript has 2 exons. The record is from RefSeq and is a predicted model, not a curated record. NCBI's taxonomy places the organism in Eukaryota, Viridiplantae, Streptophyta, Magnoliopsida, Lamiales, Acanthaceae.
ACAUGGUAUUUAUAGUAUUAAAUUUUAUAAAAAUUAUUUAGGAUAAUUUUGUUUCUAAAACCCUAAUUACUUACCGAAUCCUAUAAAAAACAUUUCACCUCAUUACGUUUCCCACAAUGCCCUUGUCGCAUCCCAUCCAUCGUCUGCCGAAUCGCCCCUCCCGUCGCUCUUCUGCCGUCGUCGGCCUUCCGUCACUGUCGUUGUUGGUACCGCCGCUACCGUCAUCAACGCAAAAAUCAAUCGAACCAUCCAUCCCUUUUCCCAUUCAAAUGCGACAUAAACCCAGUUUUUGCCAUUCGUGAACGAUGAUAUGAGGAGUGCAAGGCCAAAUAGGGGCAUGCAUUGUCUUGUUGUAAGUUAUUAACACAAUAAAUUUAUAUAUUCAUACUUGGAUACUGUAAUAGUUGUCUGUAGAUGUUGUAACAGUUGUCCGUAGAUGUUGUGAUACCUUGUUUUGUGAUUUUUGUUUAUUUACUAUGUUGCAACAUCUUUUAUAUAUAUAUAUAUGCUGAAUAUAAGACACUUGGUUGGUCAA